Molecule: ribosomal RNA, 460 nt
Filed under: uncultured bacterium
Lineage: Bacteria
Description: partial 16S ribosomal RNA
Rfam family: Bacterial small subunit ribosomal RNA
Source: RNAcentral
CCUACGGGUGGCAGCAGUGAGGAAUAUUGGUCAAUGGACGAGAGUCUGAACCAGCCAAGUAGCGUGAAGGAUGACUGCCCUAUGGGUUGUAAACUUCUUUUAUAAAGGAAUAAAACGAGGCACGUGUGCCUUUUUGCAUGUACUUUAUGAAUAAGGAUCGGCUAACUCCGUGCCAGCAGCCGCGGUAAUACGGAGGAUCCGAGCGUUAUCCGGAUUUAUUGGGUUUAAAGGGAGCGUAGAUGGGUUGUUAAGUCAGUUGUGAAAGUUUGCGGCUCAACCGUAAUAUUGCAAUUGAUACUGGCAGUCUUGAGUACAGUUGAGGUAUGCGGAAUGCGUGGUGUAGCGGUGAAAUGCUUAGAUAUCACGAAGAACCCCGAUUGCGAAGGCAGCUUACCAAACUGUGACUGACAUUGAUGCUCGAAAGUGUGGGUAUCAAACAGGAUUAGAUACCCGUGUAGUC